This 239-nucleotide ribosomal RNA is filed under the name uncultured bacterium. Its description in RNAcentral is "partial 16S ribosomal RNA". It matches the Rfam family "Bacterial small subunit ribosomal RNA", at positions 118 to 353 of the family's 1533-position model. The record is from RNAcentral.
UGAGCAAUCUGCCCUUCUCUUCGGAAUAAGCGUGGGAAACCGCGUCUAAUGCCGAAUACGACCUCCUUUCGCAUGAUCGGAGGUGGAAAGCUCCGGCGGAGAAGGAUGAGCUCGCGGCCUAUCAGCUAGUUGGUGUGGGUAACGGCCACCAAGGCGACGACGGGUAGCCGGCCUGAGAGGGUGACCGGCCACACUGGGACUGAGACACGGCCCAGACCUCCGUACGGGAGGCAGCGAGG